Molecule: RNA transcript, 1507 nt
Organism: Chelonia mydas (Green sea turtle)
Lineage: Eukaryota; Metazoa; Chordata; Testudines; Cheloniidae
Gene: LYRM7
Gene name: LYR motif containing 7
Exons: 6
Source: RefSeq, a predicted model, not a curated record
UGUUGCCUGGACGGGGAGCCCAGCCACAGCACCGCCUGCGUAGGGCCACGGAAUAGAACACGGGAAAUUUAUUAGCCAAUCACGUUUCUUUCUCCUUAUUCCAGCCUAGCCACGCCCUCUGGCCCCUCACCCGCUCACGGCUCCGGGGCACAGCUCUGUCCGGAACCAGUGUUCAGGGGACACGGCUCUAGCGGGCACAAACGCCCGCUGCACCCGGAAGUAGCCUCGCCGCCGCCGCCACCAGUGGAGCGCAAGGAAACGUUCGGCGCAGGUACGUCCAGUAACGUCCUCUCCGCCUCGCCGCUCCCUAGCGGAGGCAGAGGAGGCGGUGCUGAGACGCUACAGGGGCUGGAAUGUGACCUGCCGAUUUGCUCCUCAUGAGCGAGUUGGGAGGGUGUGGGCGUGGUUCCGCUGAGCCUGCGACUGCCACUGUAGCGUUGGGGAGUCGGGCGGAGGUUUUGAAGCUUUUCAGAGCAUUGCACAGAACACGGCAACAGGUUUUUAAAAAUGAUGCCAGAGCCCUAGAAGCUGCAAGACAAAAGAUAAAUGAAGAAUUCAGAAACCAUCAAGAUGAGACCUCUUCUGAAAGAAUAGCAGAGCUUAUGAAAAUAGGUUCAGAUGUUGAAGUUCUACUCAGAACAUCUGUUAUACAGGGACUUCACACAGGUUCUGACAGUCUGAGUUCUCCUAAGUAAAAGAAUGGAAUUGUUAUAAAGGAGAUGGAUCAAAGGGGUCAUUCUAGAAGUUCAGAAUGUAAUGAAUAGUAAUAAAGUGCUUAUACCCAGGAAAGAUCUGCUACUAGACAAUGUUCCUUACUGUGAUACACCAACACGAAAGCUUUGAAACUUCAAGGACUAAAGUACAUCUUUUUUUUUUUUUUCUUUUUUCUCAAAACAAAAUUAAUUUCCUGGAACAAAAUCCCUGAAAACAAGUAGCUGAAAUUUCUGUGUUCAGACUAAACUUAGAAAAUAUCGAAUCCUUUUGGCAGGAAACAAAGAUUAACUCAAUCCACUGAUUUGUACUCUGAACUGGGAAGGUGAAUUUGAGAGAAUCAAGAUUGAUGUUCUGUGUUUCAGAAGGACCCUUCUCUUCAUUUGGAAGGAUUACAUUUCCAUAGAAACUAAAGUCCCAUAUUGUUUUCUAAAAAUAUUCUAAGUGUACUCUUUUUAUCUCUGCCAGCAGUGGGUAUUGUCAAGUCUGAAAAAAAGACUCCAGAGAAAAUGUUUAAUUGUGUUUCGGAGGUUUUGCAAAGUUAAAUAAUAAUAAUAAUUACAAAUAGAAGUAGAGUGUUCAGUCCUGAAAAUAUUUAUUUAUAAAUUCAAAUAUAUUGACAAACUGAUAAAAAAUAAUGGUGAAAAAACAUACUAUGCUGUCUAGUUAUCUUUUUAAGUAUAAAUUGCACCACAGAUCUGUUUUCUGAAAUUGUCAUUAGCUGUGCGAUAGUGCACUGGUAGCAAAUGAGGGUUCUUAAAGGCAUAUCUAAAUAAAUUAUCAGCCUUCACAGAUA